RNAcentral lists this unclassified non-coding RNA (199 nucleotides) under rhizosphere metagenome. Its description in RNAcentral is "partial ribosomal RNA internal transcribed spacer region". The record is from RNAcentral.
GUAGGUGAACCUGCGGAAGGAUCAUUAUCAGGUGGAGCAGGCCUCGCGCCCGCACCUCCCUCCCUUUGCAUACCGUAACCCGUUGCUCGAGCCGGCGGCCCCCGGGCCCCGGCGAGAGACCAUCUCAACCUCCUCUUUCGGAACGUCUGAGUCAUAUCAUAAUAGCAUAAAACUUUCAACAACGGAUCUCUUGGUUCCG